This is a long non-coding RNA of Rhineura floridana, 436 nucleotides long. RefSeq lists it as uncharacterized. The record is from RefSeq and is a predicted model, not a curated record. The transcript is spliced from 2 exons. NCBI's taxonomy places the organism in Eukaryota, Metazoa, Chordata, Lepidosauria, Squamata, Rhineuridae.
GAAGCCCUUUUCUAAGUUUGUAUUUAUGAUAUUACACUUAAACGAAUGUAUGCUUUUCUGCCUUUAUUGAUAUUUAAGGAGAUACACACGCUGGCAAUUGUACUUAUUUCUCCAAAAAAACAAGAAACGUGUCACCCCCCCUUCUCCCUUUCCUUCCCAGGGAGAAUGAAAUUGACAAAGCUUUCCGGAGCAGGCUUGAAACCGACCAGAAGCCCUCUUCUAAAAGCUGAUCAUCAAAAGAACCCAGAACUCACAGUGAACUCACCUUCGAGGGAACUGCAGAACAUGAAGAUUCCAUCCUCUAGAUAUUAACAAGUUUGACAAUCGAUAUACAUCAAAUUUGUCAGACCCAAAAGCCAAGGCAGAUACCUCCGGUUUUCCUAAGAUGAAGAUGUUGUCAAUUUUCCGCAACCUUAAAAAGAUGCAAGUUUUAAAA